Molecule: ribosomal RNA, 524 nt
Filed under: uncultured bacterium
Lineage: Bacteria
Description: bacterial SSU rRNA
Rfam family: Bacterial small subunit ribosomal RNA
Source: RNAcentral
GUUUUCGGAUCGUAAAGCUCUGUUGUUAAGGAAGAACGAGUGUGAGAAUGGAAAGUUCAUACUGUGACGGUACUUAACCGGAAAGGGACGGCUAACUACGUGCCAGCAGCCGCGGUAAUACGUAGGUCCCGAGCGUUGUCCGGAUUUAUUGGGCGUAAAGCGAGCGCAGGCGGUUAGAUAAGUCUGAAGUUAAAGGCAGUGGCUCAACCAUUGUAGGCUUUGGAAACUGUUUAACUUGAGUGCAGAAGGGGAGAGUGGAAUUCCAUGUGUAGCGGUGAAAUGCGUAGAUAUAUGGAGGAACACCGGUGGCGAAAGCGGCUCUCUGGUCUGUAACUGACGCUGAGGCUCGAAAGCGUGGGGAGCGAACAGGAUUAGAUACCCUGGUAGUCCACGCCGUAAACGAUGAGUGCUAGGUGUUAGGUCCUUUCCGGGACUUAGUGCCGCAGCUAACGCAUUAAGCACUCCGCCUGGGGAGUACGACCGCAAGGUUGAAACUCAAAGGAAUUGACGGGGGCCCGCACAAG